UGUCUGUCCCAUCAAUUGGCGAUGGUCGGCGACCUGCCUACCACGGUGUUGACGGGUAACGGGGAAUCAGGGUUCGAUUCCGGAGAGGGAGCCUGCGAAACGGCUACCACCUCCAAGGAGGGCAGCAGGCGCGCAACUUACCCAAUCCCGACACGGGGAGGUAGUGACGAAAAAUAACGUGGCGGGGCCCUUUCGUGGUCGCCGCGGGCGGAAUGAGCGCAAUUUAAAAGAGUGUGCGAGGAGCUAUUGGAGGGCAAGCCUGGUGCCAGCAGCCGCGGUAAUUCCAGCUCCAAUAGCCUAUAUCGGAGUUGCUGCGGUUAAAAAGCUCGUCGUUGGAUCUCGGAGGCGGCACGGUCGGGCGCGAUACGCUGCGGGUCCGACCGGCGAUUUCUCGGCCGUCCCUAACCAGCGCGCGGGGCGAGGUGGACUUCGCGGUCCUGCCUCGUUUUUCUCCUUCACGGGAGAGAACCCGCCGCAUUUUCUGUCUACCUUGAAAAAAUUAGAGUGCUAAAGGCAGGCUAAAACCCCGAGCCUGAAUAUUUCGUGCAUGGAAUAAGCGGGGAUGCUCUUNUCCGGAGGGCGGUCCGACCGACUGGCGACGUCGCUUUCGCUGUCGGUUUCGCCGGAGAGCUAGGAUUCGAGAGGAACGGUGGGGGGCGAGCGUACCGGGCGGGGAGAGGUGAAAUUUUGUGAUCCGCUCGGGACGACUCGAAGCGAAAGCGCUGGCCCCGGACGUCUUCCUUAAUCCAGAACGAAGGUGGGUGGAGCAAAGACGAUCAGAUACCGUCGUAGUACCGACGGUAAACGCUGCCGACCGGGCCGCGGACGAGGCUCGAGAACAGCGGUUAUGGACCCGUCCGUGGCGGCUUCGGGCAACCUGAGAGUUUACGGGUUCCGGGGGUAGUAUGGUCGCAAGGCUGAAACUUGAAGGAAUUGACGGAAGGGCACCACAAGGAGUGGAGCCUGCGGCUUAAUUUGACUCAACACGGGGCAACUUACCCGGUCCGGACAUCGUCAGGAUUGACAGACGCUCGUGCAGUUCUUUCUCGAUUCGAUGGGUGGUGGUGCAUGGCCGUUCGUGGCUGGUGAAGUGAAAAGUCUGGUUUAUUCCGCUAACGGGCGAGGCCUCGCCCUUAACUAGUCGGCUCGUGGUUCUCGAAUCGUAGUCUCCCUUCGGGGAGCAGGGAGAACAUCGGGCGAGUCGCAGCGAUCGUCGCUACUUCUUAGGGGGAUCCCGAGCAAGCUUAAGCUAGGUGAGAGAGAUCAAUAACAGGUCAGUGAUGCCCUUAGAUGUCCGGGGCCGCACGCGCGCUACACUGAAGA
This 1323-nucleotide ribosomal RNA is filed under the name Lottia gigantea (owl limpet). RNAcentral's name for it is "bacterial SSU rRNA". It matches the Rfam family "Eukaryotic small subunit ribosomal RNA", at positions 304 to 1509 of the family's 1831-position model. Lineage: Eukaryota; Metazoa; Mollusca; Gastropoda; Lottiidae. The record is from RNAcentral.